GGGGAUGAUUGUUUCGACAAGUGCUCUUUAUAAAAUAUGCAAAUCCAGUAUUCUGAAAUCUGGUAAAACUUUCAGGAAAAACAUAAUUGCUAAUUUAUUUAAUAAGCAACCCGCGUUAGCUUUCGCUUAAUGCGGCAUCCUUGCCAUUUACUCCUGAUAGAUGGGUCAAGGGUGUUAUUUAUCGGGAUAGGUAAUUUUUUCUCCCCGAAAAAUUAUUGAAAGCAACCGGGGAUAAGAUAUUAAAGAUUUUUCUUACUUUUUAUUUAAUAUCCCAAAAACCAAAGUAGGAUAAAUUUGUAGAAGUAUUUUAACGAGGUAUUUGGACGCGAUUUCAAUAUCGCCAUCUCCACAA
Molecule: transfer-messenger RNA, 352 nt
Filed under: Candidatus Staskawiczbacteria bacterium RIFOXYB1_FULL_37_44
Lineage: Bacteria; Candidatus Staskawicziibacteriota
Also listed under: 5 other names
Rfam family: transfer-messenger RNA
About the family: Bacterial tmRNA, also known as 10Sa RNA or SsrA, is named for its dual tRNA and mRNA-like properties. Its role is to liberate the mRNA from a stalled ribosome.
Source: RNAcentral